UGAGGAAUAUUGGUCAAUGGGCGAGAGCCUGAACCAGCCAAGUAGCGUGCAGGAUGACGGCCCUAUGGUUUGUAAACUGCUUUUAUGUGGGGAUAAAGUGCGUGACGUGUCAUGCAUUGCAGGUACCACAUGAAUAAGGACCGGCUAAUUCCGUGCCAGCAGCCGCGGUAAUACGGAAGGUCCGGGCGUUAUCCGGAUUUAUUGGGUUUAAAGGGAGCGUAGGCUGUCUAUUAAGCGUGUUGUGAAAUUUACCGGCUCAACCGGUGGCUUGCAGCGCGAACUGGUCGACUUGAGUAUGCAGGAAGUAGGCGGAAUUCAUGGUGUAGCGGUGAAAUGCUUAGAUAUCAUGACGAACUCCGAUUGCGCAGGCAGCUUACUGUAGCAUAACUGACGCUGAUGCUCGAAAGUGCGGGUAUCAAACAGG
This 424-nucleotide ribosomal RNA is filed under the name Fusobacteriota bacterium. RNAcentral describes it as "Fusobacteria bacterium partial 16S ribosomal RNA". It matches the Rfam family "Bacterial small subunit ribosomal RNA", at positions 355 to 776 of the family's 1533-position model. The record is from RNAcentral. Lineage: Bacteria; Fusobacteriati; Fusobacteriota.